CGCCUCUUGCCAAACUUUAACGAAUAAGAGGUCCUGCCUGCCCCCUGACCAUGUAGUUUAACGGCCGCGGUAUUUUAACCGUGCAAAGGUAGCGUAAUCAUUUGUCUUUUAAAUAAAGACCCGUAUGAACGGCAACACGAGGGCUUGACUGUCUCCUUUUUCAAGUCAAUGAAAUUGAUUUUUCCGUGCAGAAGCGGGAAUUUUUACAUAAGACGAGAAGACCCUGUGGAGCUUUAGACACCAAGACAGACUAUGUAAAAACAGCCCUUUAUUAAAAGACCGAACAAAUUUUACCUGCCCUAAUGUCUUCGGUUGGGGCGACCCUGGGGAGUUACAAAACCCCCACGUGGAAUGGAAGCGACCAACUUUAUGCUACCACAACCGAGAGCUUCCCCUCAAAUUAACAGAAUUUCUGACCAAACAUGAUCCGGCAACGCCGAUUAACGAACCAAGUUACCCCAGGGAUAACAGCGCAAUCCUCUUUUAGAGCCCAUAUCGACAAGAAGGUUUACGACCUCGAUGUUGGAUCAGGACAUCCUAAUGGUGCAACCGCUAUUAAGGGUUCGUUUGUUCAACGAUUAAAGUCCU
This 588-nucleotide ribosomal RNA is filed under the name Otolithes ruber. Its description in RNAcentral is "partial 16S rRNA". It matches the Rfam family "Bacterial large subunit ribosomal RNA", at positions 1816 to 2597 of the family's 2925-position model. Lineage: Eukaryota; Metazoa; Chordata; Actinopteri; Sciaenidae. The record is from RNAcentral.